RNAcentral lists this long non-coding RNA (245 nucleotides) under Daucus carota (carrot). RNAcentral's name for it is "long non-coding RNA (DCAR_LNC006732)". The record is from RNAcentral. Lineage: Eukaryota; Viridiplantae; Streptophyta; Magnoliopsida; Apiales; Apiaceae.
CUCUCUCUCUCCCUUCCUCUCCAUCUCUCUCUACCUCCCUCUCUCCCCAUCUCCAUCUCUCCCUCCCUCCCUCCCUCCCCAUCUCCAUCUCUCUCUCUCUACCUCCGCACACACAUAUACGACUAAUCAAUAUGAUACCUGUUUGUUUUCUGUUGAAUUAUUUUUUGCUGCAGUUUCCAAAAAGUCUACCGAGUGUCCUGUUAUUUCAAAGACUUCUGGAUACAUAUUCGACAAGCUAUUAAUUG